RNAcentral lists this long non-coding RNA (1487 nucleotides) under Oryctolagus cuniculus (rabbit). RNAcentral describes it as "lncRNA (ENSOCUG00000038286.1)". Lineage: Eukaryota; Metazoa; Chordata; Mammalia; Lagomorpha; Leporidae. The record is from RNAcentral.
GUGGCACCAGGGUUUAUUAGGGUGUGCUUUAGUACAGGCGCUGGGGCUUGCCCAUGGUGCUCUUGAUGUACAAAGCCCGGACAUUCUGCCAAUUCUUCUUGAGCAGUGACACCAGGAAGUUGACAGCCAGGUGGAUGUUGUACACAAGCUCAUCGUCUGUCGUCUUCACGUGGCCGACUGCCACAGCCAGACACAGCACCUUCUUCAUCUGGAACUUGAUCGUGGACUUCACCUCAUCAACUGGCCACCAUGUUCUCAUUGUGUGUCAGCAGGGAGGGGAACUUGCCAGCCUGAUUUAGGCCUGGGCCCAGGAUUCGUGGGAUCUGCUUAAUCAGAGACUCUGAGGCCAAAAAGGCGUCAUACUUCUUGGCCAGCUUCUUGUUCUUGUUGAGCUUCUUUUUGUUUUGUUUUUUUUUUUUUUUGUUUUUUUUUUUUUUUUGACAGGCAGAGUGGACAGUGAGAGAGAGAGACAGAGAGAGAGAGACAGAGAGAGAAAGGUCUUCCUUUGCCGUUGGUUCACCCUCCAAUGGCCGCCGCGGCCGGCGCGCUGCGGCCGGCGCACCGCGCUGAUCCGAUGGCAGGAGCCAGGAGCCAGGUGCUUUUCCUGGUCUCCCAUGGGGUGCAGGGCCCAAGCACUUGGGCCAUCCUCCACUGCACUCCCUGGCCACAGCAGAGAGCUGGCCUGGAAGAGGGGCAACCGGGACAGAAUCCGGCGCCCCAACUGGGACUAGAACCCGGUGUGCCGGCGCCGCAAGGCUUGUUGAGCUUCUGGAGCGCCUCGAUGUCCGUGUGGGGGAUGUCCACAGCCUUGGCCUCGUCGCAGUGCUGCUGGUCGCCCAGGACACACACGCAGAACUUGGGGCGGGGCGUGGACUUCCCGCACCGCCUCGUACAGGGUGCCGCGAGAGACUUUGCUGCUCAUGGCUCCUCGCGCCGCGGUAACCGGAAAAGAGUGCAUCUUAAUGCCUAGUUUAAGCACCAACCCUAUACAUUUUGUUUGAAUUAUGUCAAGUCAUUUUCAUAGUAAUUGACAAGUAGAUUAGUGAUAAGCUGAAACAAUAGCUUGAACCCAGGAAAUUGAAGAGUUAUGCUUCAUUGUCUAUAUUUUAUUACCUCCUACCUGUUGGAACACAGAAAACUAUUGAAGAAGUCUCAGGGCUGGUGCCGUGGCUCACUUGGUUAAUCCUCCGCCUGCAGCACCGGCAUCCAUAUGGGUGCUGGGUUCUAGUUCCAGUUGCUCCUCUUCCAGUCCAGCUCUCUGCUGUGGCCUGGGAGGGGAGUGGAGGAUGGCCCAAGUACUUGGGCCCCUGCACUAAAUGGGAGACCAGGAGAAGUACCUGGCUCCUGGCUUCAGAUAGGCACAGCACCAGCUGUAGCAGACAUCUGGGGAUUGAACCAAUGGAAGGAAGAUCUUUCUGUUUCUCUCUCUCACUGUCUAUAACUACCUGUCAAAUAAAUAAUAAAAAAAAGUCUUAGUGGUGUAAUCA